RNAcentral lists this transfer RNA (72 nucleotides) under Ovis aries (sheep). It matches the Rfam family "tRNA". Rfam says of the family: Transfer RNA (tRNA) molecules are approximately 80 nucleotides in length. Their secondary structure includes four short double-helical elements and three loops (D, anti-codon, and T loops). The record is from Rfam by way of RNAcentral. Lineage: Eukaryota; Metazoa; Chordata; Mammalia; Artiodactyla; Bovidae.
UCCCUACUGGCUUAGACGGUAAAGCGCCUGCCUACAAUGUGGGAGACCUGGGUUCAGUCCCUGGGUCGGGAA